Molecule: long non-coding RNA, 208 nt
Organism: Cololabis saira (Pacific saury)
Lineage: Eukaryota; Metazoa; Chordata; Actinopteri; Beloniformes; Belonidae
Exons: 2
Source: RefSeq, a predicted model, not a curated record
UUGCAAAGAAUGGGGUGGGGGGGCAGGAUAGGACCUGCCUGUGUCAGGUUGUGAAAGAAUAAGACCACAACUUGCUGUUAAUCCCAUCUCUUCUUCAAGGGAUAUACAGUUCAGGAGGGCUAAUACAUUUUCUGCUUUCCUCUGGGAUCAAAGUAGCAGUAAACUGACAUGGCUGAUGAAGAAGUAAUAGUGGAGGAGCAGCAGUAAG